This 1149-nucleotide ribosomal RNA is filed under the name Triticum aestivum (bread wheat). RNAcentral describes it as "partial small subunit ribosomal RNA". The record is from RNAcentral. Lineage: Eukaryota; Viridiplantae; Streptophyta; Magnoliopsida; Poales; Poaceae.
AUGGAGAAUGUUGUAGUGUUGAUUGUUGGUGCUGGGCCAGCAGGCCUUGCUACAGCAGCAUGCCUUAGCCAAUUCUCAAUUCCCUAUGUCAUUGUCGAGCGUGAAAGUUGCAGCGCGUCGCUUUGGCGCAACCGCGCCUACGAUCACCUCAAGCUGCAUCUGGCAAAGGAGUUCUGUGAGUUGCCACACAUGUCAUACCCACUAGAUGCGCCAACAUACAUACCAAAAAACUUGUUUGUGAAGUACUUGGAUAACUAUGUUGAGCGUUUCAAUAUUCGACCCAAGUAUCUCACUAGUGUGGAGACAUCCACAUUUGACAAUGACCAAAAAUGUUGGUCCAUCGUGGCACAUGACAUGGCAAAGAGCACACUAGUCAGGUUCACAACAAAGUUUCUUGUCGUUGCAAGUGGUGAGAAUAGUACAGAGAAUAUUCCAAUGAUCCCCGGAUUGCGAAGUUUUCCGGGUGAUGUCAUCCACUCCUCAAGCUACAAGUCAGGCAAGAGCUACUCUGGCAUGAAUGUAUUGGUCGUUGGAUCUGGCAACUCUGGAAUGGAAAUUGCUUAUGACCUUGCGACCCAUGGUGCCAAUACUUCAAUCGUUAUACGAAGCCCGAUUCAUGUAAUGACAAAGGAAUUAAUCCGGUUGGGGAUGACACUUGCUCGCCGUCUCCCAUUGAAUCUAGUGGAUAACCUCCUUGUGAUGGCGGCAAAUUUCAUAUUUGGUGAUCUAUCGAGGUAUGGCAUCAGAAGGCCAAAAGUGGGUCCAAUGAUCCUCAAGUUAGAGACCGGCCGAUCCGCUGUUAUUGAUGUUGGCACUGUUGGGUUAAUCAAAAAAGGUAUCAUCAAAGUAAAGGAGAGCAUUAGUGAGAUCAUGGGCGAUAUAGUUGAAUUUCAGUGCGGUAGAAAGAUAUCAUUUGACGCGAUUGUGUUUGCAACUGGAUACAAAAGCACAACAAAUAUAUGGCUCAAGAAUAGUGAGAGCAUGUUAAAUGGCAAUGGACUGCCCAUCAAAGAAUAUCCGAAUCAUUGGAAAGGUGAAAAUGGGAUCUACUGUGCUGGGUUAGGAAGGAGAGGAUUGGCCGGUAUUGCAGCAGAUGCCAAGAAUAUCGCCAAUGACAUCAUAUCAGUGAUAGGCGCUAUGUCCGGGUAA